AACGAACGCUGGCGGCAUGCCUAACACAUGCAAGUCGAACGAACCCUUCGGGGUUAGUGGCGCACGGGUGCGUAACACGUGGGAAUCUGCCCUUUGCUUCGGAAUAACAGUUAGGAAUGACUGCUAAUACCGGAUGAUGUCGUAAGACCAAAGAUUUAUCGGCAAAGGAUGAGCCCGCGUAGGAUUAAGGUAGUUGGUGGGGUAAAGGCCUACCAAGCCGACGAUCCUUAGCUGGUCUGAGAGGAUGAUCAGCCACACUGGGACUGAGACACGGCCCAGACUCCUACGGGAGGCAGCAGUGGGGAAUAUUGGACAAUGGGCGAAAGCCUGAUCCAGCAAUGCCGCGUGAGUGAUGAAGGCCUUCGGUUGUAAGCUCUUUUACCAGGGAUGAUAAUGACAGUACCUGGAGAAUAAGCUCCGGCUAACUCCGUGCCAGCAGCCGCGGUAAU
RNAcentral lists this ribosomal RNA (449 nucleotides) under uncultured bacterium. RNAcentral describes it as "bacterial SSU rRNA". It matches the Rfam family "Bacterial small subunit ribosomal RNA", at positions 29 to 524 of the family's 1533-position model. The record is from RNAcentral.